UACAGGGGGUGCAAACGUUGCUCGGAAUCAUUGGGCGUAAAGGGCGCGUAGGCGGCCAACUAAGUCAGACGUGAAAUCCCUCGGCUCAACCGGGGAACUGCGUCUGAUACUGGAUGGCUUGAAUUCGGGAGAGGGAUGCGGAAUUCCAGGUGUAGCGGUGAAAUGCGUAGAUAUCUGGAGGAGCACCGGUGGCGAAGGCGGCAUCCUGGACCGAGAUUGACGCUGAUGCGCGAAAGCCAGGGGAGCAAACGGG
This 253-nucleotide ribosomal RNA is filed under the name uncultured bacterium. RNAcentral describes it as "partial 16S ribosomal RNA". It matches the Rfam family "Bacterial small subunit ribosomal RNA", at positions 524 to 776 of the family's 1533-position model. The record is from RNAcentral.